RNAcentral lists this RNase P RNA (333 nucleotides) under Tenericutes bacterium 4572_104. RNAcentral's name for it is "RNase P RNA component class B". It matches the Rfam family "Bacterial RNase P class B". From Rfam's summary of the family: Ribonuclease P (RNase P) is a ubiquitous endoribonuclease, found in archaea, bacteria and eukarya as well as chloroplasts and mitochondria. Its best characterised activity is the generation of mature 5'-ends of tRNAs by cleaving the 5'-leader elements of precursor-tRNAs. Cellular RNase Ps are ribonucleoproteins. The record is from RNAcentral. Lineage: Bacteria; Bacillati; Mycoplasmatota.
GUUAUCGGGUAAUCGAGCGCUUAGGCGUUAGGAAAGUCCAUGCUAGCACAAGCUGAGAUGCUUGUAGUGUUUGUGCUAAACGAAAAAAUAAGUUUAGGCACCACAAUAGUGGUGACGGCGAAGAAAUGGAUGUAAAAGGCCAGAGUAUUUGUAAAGUGCAACAGUGACGAUACAUAUAGAAUAUAUAUGUGUGAAACGGGUAAACCCCUCAAGCUAGAAACCCAAAUUAUGGUAGGGGCACGGUUGUAAGAGAAAUGAAUCGAGCAACUGACGGUUAUACCGUAGAUAAAUGAUUACCGGCUUUUUUAAAGCUACAGAACAUGGCUUAUAGAU